CAGUAGCCGCGGUAAUACGAAGGGGGCUAGCGUUGUUCGGAUUUACUGGGCGUAAAGCGCACGUAGGCGGACUUUUAAGUCAGGGGUGAAAUCCCGGGGCUCAACCCCGGAACUGCCUUUGAUACUGGAAGUCUUGAGUAUGGUAGAGGUGAGUGGAAUUCCGAGUGUAGAGGUGAAAUUCGUAGAUAUUCGGAGGAACACCAGUGGCGAAGGCGGCUCACUGGACCAUUACUGACGCUGAGGUGCGAAAGCGUGGGGAGCAAACAGGAUUAGAGACCCCGGUAGUCCCUGUCUCUUAUAC
This 301-nucleotide ribosomal RNA is filed under the name uncultured bacterium. Its description in RNAcentral is "partial 16S ribosomal RNA". It matches the Rfam family "Bacterial small subunit ribosomal RNA", at positions 509 to 807 of the family's 1533-position model. The record is from RNAcentral.